GCAUAUCAAUAAGCGGAGGAAAAGAAACUAACAAGGAUUCCCCUAGUAGCGGCGAGCGAACCGGGAUGAGCUCAAAUUUGUAAUCUGGCGUCCUCCGGGCGUCCGAGUUGUAAUCUAUAGAAGCGUCUUCCGUGCCGGACCGCGUCCAAGUCCCUUGGAACAGGGCGUCAAAGAGGGUGACAAUCCCGUGCUUGAUGCGACGACCGGUGCACUGUGAUACGCUCUCUACGAGUCGAGUUGUUUGGGAAUGCAGCUCAAAGUGGGUGGUAAAUUCCAUCUAAAGCUAAAUAUUGGCGAGAGACCGAUAGCGAACAAGUACCGUGAGGGAAAGAUGAAAAGCACUUUGGAAAGAGAGUUAAACAGUAUGUGAAAUUGUUGAAAGGGAAACGAUUGAAAGUCAGUCGA
Molecule: ribosomal RNA, 405 nt
Filed under: Tremella huuskonenii
Lineage: Eukaryota; Fungi; Basidiomycota; Tremellomycetes; Tremellales; Tremellaceae
Description: LSU rRNA
Rfam family: Eukaryotic large subunit ribosomal RNA
Source: RNAcentral